This is a long non-coding RNA of Oncorhynchus kisutch (coho salmon), 1277 nucleotides long. RefSeq lists it as uncharacterized. The transcript has 3 exons. The record is from RefSeq and is a predicted model, not a curated record. NCBI's taxonomy places the organism in Eukaryota, Metazoa, Chordata, Actinopteri, Salmoniformes, Salmonidae.
AGUUAUAUUUCAUAGAAAUCUGGAAACACUAGACAGUUACUUUAAGUUAUAUUUUACUCCAAUGAGUCACGAGUCCCCUUUGGCACAUUGGAGUUAGUUGUGUGACCUUCUGACGGUCGAUGAAGGGAAGUUGGUGUUCUUUCUUAUGACAAAAGAGAUUAAAAUCUUUGAAUCGGUUCCUGUGUUUGUUUAGCCCUCCAUGCACUUUCCAUUCGGCACCCUCUCCUGAAGACACGCACUCUGUCUGACGGGAGCAAGAAGGCCAAAGGGAAAGCCAUGAGAUGCGCGGAGUUUAUCCAGCCGGUAAAGGAGAGGCCAUGGACAGACUCUGCAGUGGCCCGGAGAAUGGUGAUCACAGCCCUGGGGCUGCGGAGAGGUAGAGCGCUCUCACAACAUUUCUGACCGCUACAGCAGGAAUGCCAGGCUACAACUGGACGACACACCUACUGAUGUCCUUGCUAAUAAAUAACUGUCAAACCAGUGCCAUCCUAUGUCUUGUUCCUGGUUUCAAGUUCCUAUUGUUAAUGCCACUGUAGCAUUCGAGUGCCUGAUUUACAGUAUAGGGCCAACCUAAACCACACUAUGCUGGCUUGGAUAUUUUAUUUUCAUGUGGUCUUUUCUAGCAUGGUUCCAACAACUAUGGUGGAUGUAUAACCAGGCCAACUCAGUAAAGCUUGGACUGGCUCCUUUUUUUUGGGGGGGGGGGGGGGGGGGGGUUGGCAACAGUUAUUAAUGUGUUUUACUUAGUAAUUUGUUCUAUGCCAACCACUUACAUGUCAGUUUAACACUCUGAAUGCGUCCAUAUAUAGAUGGAUAAGGUAAUACUCAGAGUUGGUGAUGCAUCGCAAACAGGCACCAGUUGUAUAAUUCCUAUCAGUGGAGAUUGUUGAGGGGAGGUCGGCUCAUAAUAAUGGCUGAAACGGAGCAAAUUGAAUGGCAUCAAACGCAUGGAAACCAUGUGUUUGAUGUAGUUGAUACCAUUCCGCUCCAGCCAUUACCACGAGCCCGCCCUCCCCAAUUGCAAACUUGCAUAGCAAAAAUAUGUAACGGUGCAGUGACUUAAAUCAAAUGUAAAGAUGACAUUAAAUUAACACACAGAGAUCUUCUGUCUGGAGAUGGGAAUAAAAAGGCAGGAUGUGGACAAUUUUGUUAGGAAAGCAAAGCAACUCUAUCAUUUAUGUUGUAGGUUUCAGAUAAAUAUAUGUGAUUAAUGUACUUUUUGUAAAAAGAUCUAUGUAAAUAAAGUUUAAUUUGAUAAACUGCAGCGACUUCACUUG